RNAcentral lists this ribosomal RNA (395 nucleotides) under uncultured bacterium. RNAcentral describes it as "partial 16S ribosomal RNA". It matches the Rfam family "Bacterial small subunit ribosomal RNA", at positions 338 to 731 of the family's 1533-position model. The record is from RNAcentral.
CCUACGGGUGGCAGCAGUGAGGAAUAUUGGUCAAUGGACGCAAGUCUGAACCAGCCAUGCCGCGUGCAGGAAGACGGCUCUAUGAGUUGUAAACUGCUUUUGUACGAGGGUAAACGCUGAUACGCGUAUCCGUCUGAAAGUACCUUACGAAUAAGGAUCGGCUAACUCCGUGCCAGCAGCCGCGGUAAUACGGAGGAUUCAAGCGUUAUCCGGAUUUAUUGGGUUUAAAGGGUGCGUAGGCGGGCUGUUAAGUCAGCGGUAAAAUGUCGGGGCUAAACCCCGGCCUGCCGUUGAAACUGGCGGCCUCGAGUGGGCGAGAAGUAUGCGGAAUGCGUGGUGUAGCGGUGAAAUGCAUAGAUAUCACGCAGAACUCCGAUUGCGAAGGCAGCAUACCG